ACCUAGAUAUAAGAACAGCGAAUUGUUCAGACUGUCGAGACUGAACUUAAGUUCAUUAACGAGGGAAAAUCCAAAUUCGAAAGGGUUAAAACGGUAGAAAGUUCAAGCGUCUAAAUAGCGACCCAGGUGAAGGUGCGCCCGUUAAAAAUAAUGCGUUUGCGUGCUGCUAAUUGCGGUGAAUCUAUUUGCGUGGCGAUCCUCCGCAAAAUCGUUCGCCCCGAUUGAAAAGUAACUCGUUCUCUCUUCGUUCGUUCGAACGCGGUUGCGAAGUAUGUGGGACGGAGUCUCGGUGAUACAAGGUAUCCAAUUUUUGGCAUUGUCACCGGGCCAAUGUGAUCGUAAACUUGAAAAUCGAACGUUAGCACCUCGUUGUCUGGAUGAUUUCGCGCCGGAGGCCUCGUGAAUCAAGCCGGCCUCACGUGAUGUAAAUACACACGUGAUCCAGAUUGGCUUUCGUCGUGCGGCGAGCCAACGAGUUACCCGAGGUGGCUCAUAAAUUUCCGGGAAACUAUAUUUACAGAUCGUUAGCGGCCGCGGAUAGCUCGAAUUGCUCGAAUCGAAACAUUUCGGAGAAGUUUAUCGAAUCUUCAAUGUUUGUGAUAGCAGAAGAAAUGAUGAAAUUUAAAAGCAUUUCUAUUUUCUUAGAAACGCUAUAGAAUUUGAACAAAGCUUUCAGUCUCGACGAGUCUUAUUAACAUACAGAAAUAAACAAUUUGGUACGCGUAGAGAAUCCUGGAAGCUGCCAGUACGAAUUUUCAAUAGAAAGAACUGAAACGAGGCUCGCGGUAAAUAAAUCAAGCGUUUCAUCAGAGGAUUUUUCAACCGGGACCUUGGCGGAGGCUUCAACGUCGCGCGUGCGAGCUAAACACAAGCGGUUCUUGUUAAAAUUCGUUAACGAGCUUCUCGUUACAAUGAGGCGGUAAACUUACUUUGAGAAAAUUAAAGUCUGUCAGGGCGUACUUCUUGAAUCUUGGCAGGUUAGUCGCCGGCGGUGUGAUUCGUCCACUGGGGAAGUGGUCCGAGGAGUCUGAGUUCCUUUGGGUGUCCGAUGACUGCGAGGGUGCUGUGGAUAUCAAAAAGAAUGCACCUAAUGUUUUGCUUCUGAAUUUAAAACACAGGAACAAAUGUUAGUGCGAUGGGAACAGAGAAUUAUUUUGAUAGAAGAUUAGUUGGUCCAAUGGUGAAAUAAAAAGGUUGCAGUUAAUUAUGGAUGUUCUUCAAGAGGAUGAAUGCACCUAAUGUUUUCCUUUUGAAUUUAAAACACAGGAACAAAUGUUAGUGCGAUGGGAACAGAGAAUUAUUUUGAUAGAAGAUUAAUUGGUCCAAUGGUGAAAUAAAAAGGUUGCAGUUAAUCAUGGAUGUUCUUCAAAAGGAUGAAUGCACCUAAUGUUUUCCUUCUGAAUUUAAAACACAGGAACAAAUGUUAGUGCGAUGGGAACAGAGAAUUAUUUUGAUAGAAGAUUAAUUGGUCCAAUGGUGAAAUAAAAAGGUUGCAGUUAAUUAUGGAUAUUCUUCAAGAGGAUGAAUGCACAAUGUUUUCCUAUUGAAUUUAAAACACAGAAACAAAUGUUAGUGCGAUGGGAACUAAGAAUUAUUUUGAUAGAAGAUUAAUUGGCCUGAUGGUGAAAUUGCAGCAGCGCAUUGGAUCCUCUUCUGUGAUUUCUUCGAGCCAAGGUACAGCUAGAUUAAACGAUAUUUUCCUGGGAUUUCGAUUAAUAAGCGCAUUAAUUGUCGAUUUAUCUCUGGCAGGCGUACACGCUGGAUCUUGGCCGGCUGAGAUUUUUCGAAAAUAGAGCUGACCGUCGUACGACGCGAGGAGGACUUGUAAAUGAUCGAUUAGAGGAGAGUUAAGAAACCGAAUUAACGAUGAUGUCAUAUUAAAUUCAGCUGGAUCGCGGUAUCGUCCAUUGGCCACGAAGAUUAUUUAGAAUAUGGAUUUAUGAUUUAUGAAGUCGAACCAAGAGCAGCCAAGUUUGACUGCCUUACCAGAAACGUUGGAAUGAAAUGCAGAGAACGUGACAAGUUAAAUAGAAAGAAGAAUGAGAGUUUUGUUAAUGAAUUCUUUUAUUAAUUAUUAUAAUUUAGGCAAGACAGAGGUGGAAGUUAGUUGAUUGAAAAUAUUUUAACGACCUUGUUGCUAUUAUGAAUCAUUAUGCAACUGCCAGGUGGUCUCUUGAAUAAAUUGAAAGUUUGAUUAAAUUCUUGCAAUGUUUGUAACUCGAGUGGCUAACUUUUCUUCUCUGAAAAUUGAAACUCACCCCUCUUGAGUGCCUGCAAAGCUUCAGCCACGAGUUUCUGGUUCAAUCCGCAGAGAUUGCCAGUCAGUUUCUCACAUUUCUUGUGGCAAGCCAUGUCACAAUCUGUUUUCAAAUGUUUUCCACGUUGAUGCAUGUUUUAUUUGUCCUUACUACUAAAUAUCUUUGAUGCACCUUGUACACAGGCUAUUAUUUUUAAACAUUGCGUAUCAAGUUUGCAAAUGAUACAAACACUUGAAUAUAUACCAUCUGUUUGUCAUACUUUCACCAGAGAACACAGAUUCAGAGAGAGAACAGUACGCCCUAGUGCUUUUCUCUCAACUGAUACCCAAUGAACCCACCACCUAACAGCUAAAUUUAUCUUGUAACUUUUGUAUGCAGCUACAGCCACUCGUGGCUGCAUUAUGAUGCCUAGAAUAUUGUUAUGAAACCGCGUAGCACGUUAUAAAUAGGAGCGCUAAGUUCACAGUCGUGUGGAUCAGUUUGAAGCUAACAUAGAGAAGAAUCAAUUAAUCAUUUGUGAUAUACCAGUUGAAACCUGAUCAUGAUUCAAGGAUGCGAGAGUAAUUAAUAACUUUGCAAGAAGUGGAUGAGAAUUUUUGGUUGCUGUCCCUUCCUGUAAACAAACCUAGUGGACAAUGUCGUUGAACCUGUGACAAUAACCUUAAAUGACACUGAGUAUCUGGCUUCGCAUCUGCAAUGGUAACACCGGAUGCUUUUGAGGAUACUCUGAGAAGACAGCUGAACGUGGAACCAUAUUGCAACAGCUGAUCAUUUUCUAAUAACUUGGCAGUUCAUGAAAGCGAUUCUGACUAAAUCUGAACUGUAUGCCAAAGAAUGUUUUAUUGAUCCCUUGACUUUGGAUGUUGCUACUAUUGCUAACAUUUUGUCAUGUUUGUGCGAAGAAAGUACUUUUGCAUUUAUGAAAAUUUUCAGGAUUGUACUUCUUGCUUCGUUGCAAAAUUGCCUGAUGAUCUGACUGACUUAGAAUCAGGCAAUCUUGUUGGAAUGAUUCCAACAGAAACAUUUUUUCUUCUCAGAAUAUAUUAGAAGCUGUUGAACACGCGGAAGGAAUUACCUUGGUAUUUUCUUUUCACUCUGAUUACAUGUAACUCGUUGUCAGUUUCAGUAUUUCUAACGUGUAACAUUUGUGCUACAGAACUGUCUGUGAGUCAGCAAACAAAUAUACAUGCUCAAACGAACCCAUAAAAUUUUUAAAGCAUGCAGAAAGAAAGAAAGAAAGAAAGUAAGCCAUGAAUAUAAGUGACAGAAAACAACAAUUUGAAUGCAGUUAAGAAACACAGACUUGAUACUCGAACUGCCAAUUUUAACAAUACAUAAUCAAAAAGCCAAGAUAUAUUGAAACUGCAUGAACACCCGUCUUCCCAUUGUUUACAAGCACCACCCACGCUCAGAAGAGGCUAUAAAUUUUACACGAAUCUAGUAAACUUCCUGGCAGGUCGGUUAAACAGAGGUCAAGAGUCCUGAGGUGGCAAGAGACAGAAUGAUGGAACGUGCACGGUCAUUGUUUCGGUUAUUAUGCAAGCCCUGAGGAGUUCACAGGCUACUCGGCAAUUUUAUUGACGCGUAUCGGCAUGAUAAAAGCUCGACUGCCAAACGUUCUGCUCCCCUGGCGCAAUACGCGUUGCUAAAGGGAAGCCCGUAGCGAACACUUGUUACACGUAUUGCUGAAGUCGUUGCCUAUUGUUUUGGCUGGCGAGUGGACAGGAUUGAUUGACACAUUUCCAUUCAUGAAUCAAUAGCGCAUCUGCCUCGCUGCACGAUGGCAAACGAGUGGCAAUUGGGCACACGUGGCCGGCAGAAACAAUUGCAAAUCAUGGUAUCAGAGUUGCUAUCAUUUUUCAUUGUUUAUUGUUUACUGCAGGGGUCGCCAAACUUUUUGAGAUUUUUAAAAACAGGGGCGCCGGGGGAGAAAUAUUCUUAUUGAAAUUCUGUUAGAACAUUAAUUUAAUGUUUAUUAAAAUGUACCAAAUCAUAAAAUUAAUAUUUCUUAUAUAAAAUAUUUAUAAAUAAAAGUUGGAGGCCUUAGUUUGGUGACCACUGGUUAACAUAUUGGUGAAUAAAUUUAAGAACAAAUAUUUUUAAUUAAUUACAAUUAAUCUUCUCUGAUACCAGAACUAGAAUUACUAAGCGAGUCAACUCAAGAACAAAUCUUUUUAAUUAAUUACAAUUAAUCUUCUCUGAUACCAGAACUAGAAUUACUAAGCGAGUCAACUCAAGAACAAAUAUUUUUAAUUAAUUACAAUUAAUCUUCUCUGAUACUAGAACUAGAAUUACUAAGCGAGUCAACUCAAGAACAAAUCUUUUUAAUUAAUUACAAUUAAUCUUCUCUGAUACCAGAACUAGAAUUACUAAGCGAGUCAACUCAAGAACAAAUCUUUUUAAUUAAUUACAAUUAAUCUUCUCUGAUACCAGAACUAGAAUUACUAAGCGAGUCAACUCAAGAACAAAUAUUUUUAAUUAAUUACAAUUAAUCUUCUCUGAUACCAGAACUAGAAUCCUCACCAAGUGAGCCAGGUUUCUCAUUUAUUAAACUGUUUUUGUUGGAAUGCAUAUUGACUCUUGUUGAGAUAAACUGUUGUAUACGCUAGUUCAUGCUUCACUCUUUGUCUGUUUAUUUUAAACCGGUUGUUCUAAUAUUAAAAUGAUGAAAUAAGAAAACACCUUGGAAGAUAUAUCGUUACACUGCCUCACGUUUCAGGUUUACAAUAUAUUUUCUUCAACUCUGAGGAUUGAAAAUUAUGACAGGGUAAAGUGCAGCGUUUCUUGUACCCAUUUAUUAAUCCUGUACCCUCGGUACAUCAUUUGUAAACGAUGGCAUCAAUCAUUUCAGCUUGUUGAAAGUUACAACGUAAUUGCUGAUCUCGACCGAGGAUUUCACUUGGCAAGUGCAACAAGGAACGUUACACACGGUAGAAGUUUUAUCACGUGGAAAACGUACGUCCAGACGGAGCAGCCGCUAUUUUUAAUCCAAUCCGUCGUUUCUUGUAAUACCUUUUUGAUUUAUACCGACCUAGCCGUACCGAUCAAUUAAUCGUCACCCAGUACCGUAAUCGCUAAUGAGUUACUGGUUUGACGAAUCGUAUGUCAUAUUCGUGCGUUGCCAAAAAUCCUCGAAUAACAUUCUAGAAAGCUAUUAUAAUUACCGUGGAACCGUUCACGUUUCACGGUCUGUUGCAACACGAAUUUUAUUUCACUUUCAAGAACGAAAAAAACCAGGGAAAAACAUUUCUAUUUUCGUUGCCGCAAUCCUUUGUUGCGAACGGACGUCGCGUUCACGUAACUAGCCACCAGAGAAACCUCGAACGUCACUCCACGACCAAGAAUAAUGGGAAGAAACGAGGAAAGGAGAUAUCUACUUUCAACUGAGAGACUAUAUUUUCUAUGGAAAUAACAAUGAAUAUCUUUGUUUGUCAAAAGCAAGAGACUAGGUACAGUAAGAAGGGAAGAAAAUAAUCAGCUGACGAGGAAGAGAAGUGGAUGGAACCGAAGAAUGAAGAGAUACCUUACCGUGGACCACCAGUCAUCAGUGAACUGUGAUUCGAGAAAGCCCCCCCAUAGUAAUAGGGCAGACCGUCCCCGUAGUAAGGCAUGAUCGAAGCGUCCAAUUAUCCACUGCGUUCGCGGUGUAGCCGAGGGUUGACCUUAUAAAAUAGCACCAAUGUAGUAUGGGGGAGCAGCGGCACUAGCGGUUAGACGUUCUCGAAUACGACUGAGCGCGCCGCGGAAUCGCCGGCCGAAGACGCGUUCCCUCAGGUGUUCGCGAAGACGUUCUCACGGUUCAGGGAGCCAACGGUGACUGAGUUUAAGCCAGCGACCCAGUGUAAUAAUAGAAGUCUAGUGUACGAGGCUUCCUAGCGACUAACUAUACUAGCUGGACUCUAAUAACCCGUGCAACAGUCUCCGCCACCCCGUUUGCGAAUAAAUAUUUGCGUUUUCUGAUUGUUGCCUUUACGUGACUCACGAUCAGCAGACGGUAACUGGUGUCUGGUAAUUGAAAAAAAUUUACCAGAAACCAGAGUUCAAUUAGACCUUUUAUUUCUUAUGGUAUUUAGUGCCAUGUCAGGAAUAUGAAAGAAUGUUAAUUUGUAGGAAUUCAAACAGUGAUUACGUAAAGCAAUGUUCAAGAUGCGAGUAGUUUUCUAUUUAUAAGCGAUGGAAGAUUAUUAAGAAUAUUUUGUAAUUCAGUAACGUCAAGGAAACGACUCGAUUGUUGGCACAAUCUUGACCGUUCUUUAACGCCUUUACGUUCACUCGGAUGAUAAAUUUCAAAUGUUUAAAAAGAAAAUUUGUUAAUAGAGCGAUAAACCUGCGAUUCGAACAGAGAAAACAGGGCACACGCAUGCUUAUAGUGACAGAACACCGUCUCGUGUUGUUUCGUGGUUCGCGCCAAAUACUUCUUUCCUUCGUCGCCUAUUGUUACUGGUUCAGAGAAUCUUGGGAAUAGCCAGAUUCUAUUUUGAAUCAGAGUGGACUUAAUAUCAGAAUAGACAUAGUCAACUUGAGGUGUACAAUUGAAAUCAAUCUUUUUAAUUAAGUCUUUUGUAAAUUGUUUCAAGGUGCAUCAAAGUUGAACGAUGAAGUAUUUUCAUUUGUUACUCACCGUCGCAUCUCAGACCUUGCCUGAAGAAUCCAUAGAGCAGGGAACCGCAAUGGUCGCAGAAGGUCGGCGACAUGAAUGUGUGAGGCCGAAACCUGUGAGGUACAUCUACCUUGAAACGCUCCCUCAAGUACUGCCAUUGAACAAGCAUUCACAGAAUUAGCAUGUGGCUGAGUUUCAAUAAACAUCAUCAAUGUGUAGAAUAAACAAUUGUAAUUAUUUGUGGAAUAUCUAAAUAAUUAAUACAACUUGGCUGAUAAUUAUCAAUUAAAAAUUAAAAGAAGUAAUCCUUCUUAAAGAAUACUAAAUUAAAUGCAAGUGGAUUAUCUAUAAGAAAUAAAUAAGCAAACUAAUGUCAUCCACGUUAAUAUGCUUCUGGUACAAAGAAGAGGACAGUCUGUCUUAAGGAUCAUCCGAGAAAUUUUGUUCAUUAACGAAUGGAACGUUUCUUUUCUGUCGCAACGCGGAGGAAACUCGCAGGACCUCUUGAAGGUUGCAGAUGCGGACACUUACUAUCGUGUUUUCCGAUUCCCUGCCGCUCUCCGGACACUUGGUCAGCAGUUUAUCGUGGCACUUCUUGUGCACCGCUGUUUGGCAGGCUGGUAACCGCGAGAGAUGGAAAUAUAUUAAUAGAGAGAGCAAUGUUGUAUACACGAGCGCGUGGUCGUUAUAGAUAGAAAAAGUGAUGCGCGAAUUUAAUAUUUACCUUGGCACUGGUAUCCCUGCUUUCCGAAGCCCCUGCGACAGAAAGAAAGCACGCGUUUUGGGUGAAUCGAGAGAGUAAAAGGGAAUUGUCUGCUGGCUGAGAAAUAACCGAUACUUUUGAGUAAUGCCCGUACAAUGAAACUAUUUUUAGAUGCAUAAGCGUAUCGAGGAGGCAACUCUCUUAUGAUAAAUCGAGAUUCCUUCGGUUAUUUACCAGUCCACCGCGCUGAACAUUCUCGAUAAACGUAUCCUCUAUGGGUGUGCGAUGUUUCUUUUUAAUGACGCCUUUGGAUACUGUAUGUCAGUUUUAUGAUCAUCAUUAAAAAGGCUGGGGACUUAAGAAUGUUUGAGACUUUCAGGGUACCCUUAGGCCCUUGAUGAAACCAAGGGUUGGUAAUCUAUUUUUAAAUAUGACUUAUAUAGAAGCCUCAUAAGGGAGUGGUCAAAAGUGAGAUGGUAGAGUUUAUAGUGCCAUUUUUGACUGCCAUUGGCAACGGGCUCAAAAGUUAUGGGACUUUGAAAUGUUCAUAUUUGUAAGUGUAAAUUGCAUUACACAUGCAAUUUUCCCUGAAAUUCAUCUUAAUUGUUAGUAAACAUCUAAUCAUCUCAAAUUCAUGCCUUGUCAUUUUUAUACUUAAUUUUCACUUCAUAUUUCUAAUCAUUUAGACUUUAAAAUAUGAAAAUUUCAAAGUCCCAUGACUUUUGAACCCUUUGCCAAUGGCACUCAAAAAUUGCACUAUAAAUUCCUCAUUUCAUCUCUUUGGAAUAAACAUAGUCUGGAUGAGCAACUCUACCAUCCACUUUUGACCAUUCCCUUGUCAGGCAGUGUUAACCCUUUCGCUGCCACGGUGGUCCCAUGGGACCAGUGCUUGCCUUUUCAUUUGGGCCAUGGUGGUCACCACUAAUUAUAAAAAAAAUGUGCUAUUGGCAAGAUUGUAAAACAUUAUAAAAUUUUUAAUAUGAAAUUUCUGGCCCACUGAUGCAAGUUCAAAAAUUCGCCUGGCAGCGAAAGAGUUAAGGGGGUAGACGCGGGUAAUGCAGCGAGUGACAUUACCGACAGAGAUGGGACUAACAGGGGGUUCAGGAAAUUACGUUUUUCGCCCUUAUAUGGGAACAUUUAGGGCUGGGUGAGGGCUCAUUCGAAAGAGGAAGGUCCAAUGCAGGGCUGUAUGGUCAGGGUUCAACGAAAUUUUGUUAAUUUCUAAUAAUACGACAAAAUACAUCCGCAGAAUCCAAGAAUGCGCAGAAGGUCGGCGUUCUGAAGAAUUUGGCGACCAGUCUGUGUCCACGAACAAUGUGCACCUUGUUGUGUUUCACCGCGCCCCUUCUCCUGGUGAUGGCACCGCCGACGUUAUUUUCAUGCGGUAACGUCGACGCAGAAGCUAUGUCUCGCCGAGGGACCCUGGUCUUGUACACGUAUUUCCCUGUAGACGUCGAGGGCGGUAGAUCAGCUGGAUUCAGUACUGUAGACACUUUGGAUUGCCUAAUAAUGUAUCAGGAGCACGUACCGACUGGCUCACCUGUAUGUGUAUCCUUCCGCACCCACGCGUGCCUGUGGGCUUUUAUGGUUCACGGAGGACCUCCGGCUGGAGCCGGAACCGCCUCCAGCGUUGCGUCUCCUCGCAUGGGAACCACCGGUGAACAUCAUCUUCCACCGAUUCAAUUCACCACUUUACCAUUUAUCAUCAACAAAUUCAUUGGAUCUAAUUCAAUAGCAAAAGUCUGUUAUUUAAUAAGGAUUGAUAAGCGCGCCCUCCUUUCAGGUGCUAUCUCUUCAGCUUUCCGUUAGGAAUUUCGCCGCUUCUCGCCGCGUAAUGCCAGAAGAAUUUUCGUCCGUCAGCCAGCAACAUCCUCGCCCGAACACGCCUUGAACGACGCAUCGAUCACUUCCGCUUUCAACGAUUCCAGCUUUCAGAAGAGACUCGGAUCAUCCUGAGCAGCUAAUAAAAUUAACAAUUAAUACUCUGAUGGCCGGUGUAUCAGUAGCUAUGGCGCUAUUAAUUUUGAAGAGAUGAAUAAUUUUUUGAAAAUUUUCUAGAUAAGAAAAUAAUUAUUUUUUAAUUAUAGUACUAAUUGCUAGAGCUAAUAGUGCCCUAUUAAGUAUAAUAAGAAAUAUAAAUUCACUAAAGGCUGUCAUAGUAUUAAGAUGAAUGAUGGGAUAAAUAUUGUUAAGAGAACCUUUUAUAAGAAAUUUGAAGGAAACCGUUUAUAUUCUAAAUGUCCCUGUUUGCGAAGGCCACGCUUUUGACAAAUUGGAAGAAUGACUAAUACACAGAGAGGAUGUGUUACAUAGACCUAUGCCCCAAGGGAGACACUGGGUAACUGUAUACCUUUCUUUAUUAUUAUUAUUAUUUUUUUAAAUUUACUCUUCAUCUAUGUUGAUCAAACGUCCGGGCACGAUUCAUUGUUUCAUCAGGGACGUCUUGUGACCAAAUGUAGCGCUAAGAGAUGUAGAAACGUCAGGGUAACGCGGGUUCAACUGGUCGCACUUGGUACACUUGAAUUAUUUCUUGAAAUUUCUCAACAAUCCCACCGACUGAUCCCGUUAUCAAGUUCGUUGGAUAUUCAUGGAUAGUUGAACGAAUGUUGACGGACAGAGGAACUGGAUUUUGACGCCUAAAACGUUGUAGGUUUGCACGAAACUCUCGGAUCUAUAAAUAUCAGCCUGUUGAAUGCCGCCCGCCAUCGGUUCACCCAGCGCCACCGGUGGCAAAUAUUUUAGAAUUACCUCGUCGAGCGGGUUUUCCAGGCUGGAAAAGCAAUCUAAAUCUUCCAGAUAAAGAUUCCAGUUUCUUUAUGAAGAAUCCUAUUUUCUGUUGCUUAUCAAUUUCCUUGUAAUACUUUUUAUUCAGGGUGACAAAAAUCAAAUGAAAGGGAAAGGUAUAUUUUAGGAUAUUUCACCUUGUAUAUAAACUGAAAUGAAAAUUGUAUAAAAGUUGCACAAUCUUGUGGAAGUCGUAUAAUAAUUAUACUUUUAUUCCUUUGGAAAGGGUUAAAGAGAUAAGAUCAAUUUUGUAUAUAAAUGGAAUAGUAGGUUUUAUUUUCAUAACAUUUCCCAACAAAAUAAAAUUAUUUAUCACUCUAUACUGACCCUUCGUAAACUUGGAUAACUUUUGUAAGAAACUUGAAUGACACUGUGAAACAUCCUUCGCAGGAGCAAUGAGAAAUGUUGAAUAAGGAUCUCACCGUAUUAAAUAUAAAGUAUCUUUUUUAUUGUUUAGAUUAUCCUAAAACAAGAGAUUUUUCUGAAUAGCUCUACUAAUGUGUAACAGUUUUAAAAUGUAUAUGUUUCCAUUCUUAAGACGGUAACCACAAUUCUCUUCCUCUGCGCCUCUAAUUUAGGAUCCUUCUUCAAAGGUGUCUUUUUAUUCGCAGAUCCCAUCGGUGAAAUGAAAACACAGACUUUCUUUAGGUAGCUUUGUUUCUUUUUAUGCAAACAUUUGUAUUCUUUUUUUUUUUCUUUUUUCCUUCUUUUUCCAUUCUUAUGAUUAACGAUGUGUACAGUGAAUCUGUUUUCUGUAAUAUAGCAAGUACAGAGAAAUGUAUUUAUUGGUGAUUGUAUUGUUAGAUAGAGUUAAGUAAUAUCCUUUUCUUUUUUUUUUUUACUUUCUGUUACUGUGUAUGUGUAUGUGUGUAUAUCACGUUAAGGACUCGUGAAUUCGUCCUUCGUCUCCCCCGUCGUGACAGAAACGCGAGUCUUCGUGUGAUAAAUAUUGCUAAGCGAAAUUAAAGAAAAGCCGCCUCGAGCACAGCCUUCUUACGUCGCGGACGCGACGAGGAAACGGCGCGUUUCUCUUAAACGCUAUGUACAACUAAAAUGAGAAAUACAAACAAGUUGGAUCAAUCGCGUUAUAUUUUGUGCUUAACAGAGUCGUGUCGCAAUCGGAGAUUGCAACUGCAACCGUUUCCUCGUCGCCGGACACGUGUCCAUUGAGCUGUUUCACUUUCGCUACACGUUAAAUAACCAAACUAAUAGUAACGUCUUAGAAAGUAUAAUAUUUAUAUAUAUAUAUAUAUAUAUAUUUAUAUAUGUAUGUAUAGCCGACGAGAAAUAGAAUUCUAAAUCGAUACGAGCAUUGCUACCGUAAAAGUUGAAGUGAUUCCUUACAAAGAGAGAGGCUGACUUCUUAUUUUUGAAAAAAUUAAAACGUUGCCCUGGUUUUCGUUCUUUCGUUUCACGCUACAGAUCCAUGAUCUAAUUAUUAUACUAUUAUCAAAAAUCUCUACCUAGUCGUUCCAUGACUCGCGAAUAAAAAAAAAAAAA
Osmia lignaria (orchard mason bee) is the source of this 11845-nucleotide non-coding RNA. The record is from RefSeq and is a predicted model, not a curated record. Lineage: Eukaryota; Metazoa; Arthropoda; Insecta; Hymenoptera; Megachilidae.